Molecule: unclassified non-coding RNA, 172 nt
Filed under: uncultured Eurotiomycetes
Lineage: Eukaryota; Fungi; Ascomycota; Eurotiomycetes
Description: sequence contains ITS1
Source: RNAcentral
CAGAGUUAGGGUCUUAUAGGCCCGAUCUCCAACCCCAUGUUUAAUUACCUUGUUGCUUUGGUAGGUCAGUUUUAUGACUAUCCAUUAGUUAAAAACUUGUGGAUUAGUACCUACCAAUAGCCUUAACAAAUUCUGAAAAAAAUGAUUGUCUGAGUUACAAACUUAAUAGUUA